Molecule: ribosomal RNA, 669 nt
Filed under: Triticum aestivum (bread wheat)
Lineage: Eukaryota; Viridiplantae; Streptophyta; Magnoliopsida; Poales; Poaceae
Description: partial small subunit ribosomal RNA
Source: RNAcentral
AUGAUCCCAACUCAGAGACCUGCAGUGACAAACAUUGAACGGGUGUCAGAUCUUAUAGACACACGAAGCUGGUCCUGGAAGAUUGAUGUGAUCAGAGACAAUUUUACUGCUCAGGAUGCCACAGCCAUACUAAAUAUCCCAAUCAGGCAAGGCGGGGGCGAGGAUUUUCUUGCAUGGGCAUUUGACAAAUCAGGUAACUACACUGUUAAAACGGCGUACCGUACUCUCGUGACUCAUAACGAGCAUUUGGCUCUAGAGGAAAGGACGGUUACCGAAGCUUCAUCGGACGAUCAACAGCUGUGGAAAGCCUUAUGGAAGUUAAAUGUUAUCCCAAAAGUAAGAGUGUUCUGGUGGAGAGUGUUACGUGGCAUUCUUCCAGAUGAAACUACCCUUAACUAUCGUCACAUUGCGGAUGCUCGGCAAUGCAAUGUCUGUCGCUCCAUGGAUGAGGAUUUGAAGCAUGCACUAAUACAUUGUAUACAUGCACAGAGUUUUUGGGAGGAGGCGUGGACAUGGCUUGGUUUACGACUUCCACCUCUCCACUCGACCACAUGGGCUCGAGACAUAACCUGUGAUCCUCAGUUCACUAUCGACGAACGUGCAAAGAUCACCACUAUCAUGUGGUCUAUUUGGCAUUCUAGAAAUCGAGUGAAACAUGGUGAUGGAUGA